UCUCCGUAGGUGAACCUGCGGAGGGAUCACUACAGGCUCGCAAAAGCUCUGAAACCACUGUUUAUCUACCUAAAUCUGCUUCGGCGGGCGGCCCCAGGGCGGGGCCGUAGCCGCAAGGCGCCCGCCGAAGACCCCUAAACUCUGUCGUCUUGAGAAUCUCUGAGUAUCAUAUUAAACAGAAAACAACUUUCAACAACGGAUCUCUUGGCUCUG
Molecule: unclassified non-coding RNA, 213 nt
Filed under: plant metagenome
Description: partial contains small subunit ribosomal RNA, internal transcribed spacer 1, and 5.8S ribosomal RNA
Source: RNAcentral